UUGCUCACUUCAGCAGCACAUAUACUAAAAUUGGAAAGAUACAGAGAAGAUUAGCAUGGCCCCUGAGCAAGGAUGACAUGAAAAUUCAUGAAGCGUUCCAAUCUUUU
This 107-nucleotide small nuclear RNA is filed under the name Meriones unguiculatus (Mongolian gerbil). Lineage: Eukaryota; Metazoa; Chordata; Mammalia; Rodentia; Muridae. The record is from RNAcentral.